UGCAGAGGUCUCAAGCGUUGUUCGGAUUCAUUGGGCGUAAAGGGUGCGUCGGCGGCGCGGUAAGUCGGGUGUGAAAUCUCGGAGCUUAACUCCGAAACUGCAUUUGAUACUGCCUUGCUUGAGGACUGGAGAGGAGACUGGAAUUCACGGUGUAGCAGUGAAAUGCGUAGAGAUCGUGAGGAAGACCAGUGGCGAAGGCGGGUCUCUGGACAGUUCCUGACACUGAGGCACGAAGGCCAGGGGAGCAAACGGG
Molecule: ribosomal RNA, 253 nt
Filed under: uncultured bacterium
Lineage: Bacteria
Description: partial 16S ribosomal RNA
Rfam family: Bacterial small subunit ribosomal RNA
Source: RNAcentral